UGAGCCCUGGCCAACAUUUCUGGGUUCCAAAGGUACGGUGCCUUGAUCUGGAUGGCAGAAGGAACGCAUUUCCUUGGCCUCCGGGAUCUCACUGAAUUCAUCUAUAGUAAAGAGAAGGAAUGUCUGUGCAUAUGAGUUUCUAAUGAUAUGAAGACGGAGGUAUGUUUGUGGAUGAAGUCAAGAAAGCAGUAGUCUCUGCCCAGAAUACGCCAGCAAGCGACCACGAUGGUGUGCACCGUCUCCCAGCUGAAACACAUGAGAGAGCCCAGGCGUGGAGUGAGCAGGUGCAUCGGAUCGGCUUCCACCUGCCAAUCUUAUGCUGCAGGCUUCAGUGAUCCUACCCCCAUCUCUUCUUUUCCACCGGGAAAGACCCCUGAUGUCCCGAUGUUUUCUGACAGAGAAGUGCUGCAGAGCGGUAGGGAAAGCAGGCCCGGCCUCUGUGCACAAACCCUCGUCCCCAUUUCCUGGCAUUGCUCCUCCACCUCCCUGUGCCUCCGUGUCCACAUCUGUGAAAUGGGGAAACAGCCACAGGGCAACUGUAAGGGUUAAGUGAGCUAAUACAGGCAGAGCAUUUUAAAAAGUUUCCCAUGCAUGAUACGUGUUCGAUAAAUGUGACCUAACAUUGGUCUGUGUCUUUCAUUGUAUGACAUCUUUCAUUGUAUGACAUCCUCAAAAAAUAGGAUUAUUCCUAGUUUUCAGAUGGAACAUUAAAUGACUUGCAAAGCCUAGUAAAUGAUAGAGACAGGACAUAAGCCACGUUUGCUUCCCAAUUCCUCCUCCUCCUGUCUUCCCUGCCACCCCAUGCCACUGUGCUGAUGUAACUUACCAGUUAGAAAUCAUCCCCAUACAGCACUAAUUCAACUAGGUUUACAUUACAAAUGUUCCGUCUACCCAUAGGACGAGCCGUCCCCUUUCCCCCAUGGUUUAGUUUUGUUUUUGGAUUUUUUUUAUUUAUUUAUUUUUUUGCCAAUGAAUGUUUAUGCGUGAAUUUGGGGGCUGAGAAGCAAUACGAAAAGCUAGCUAGCUCUAAUGAUCUUGAAAGUAAACCUGAUUUCGUCUUCACCCUAUGACUUGGUGGUAUGGUCGGUGGAGGAAGGAUUGGGGGGACAUAGAGAGCUCAUAGUGGGCCCUGGCUGGAAUGGGCCCCCAGUCUCCUGGGAAGGCAAAUCCAGAAAGCCAAUGCUACUAAAAGCAGCCAGAAACAUUGGUGGAUGCCCUUCGGUUACCUGCUUCUUGUAGGAGCCAAAGUGUUCUCUACCCACUGCCCAGACCUUGUCCCCACCCUGAGCACAAGGAACCUUAUUCUCGAAGGGUCUAGAAGGUAGAGAAGGAACGGGCAUCAAGGAGGUGUGUUUGCUGGGAGGAGAAGGAGCAUUAGGAAGGUUCUCCAGGGGCUUGAGAUUGUCUCUAACAGAGGCAGCCAGGCACUGAAGGACGGACGGGCGGGGCCCUAGAAGGAGGAGAGCUGACUGGGCAGGAAGGAGAAAUGCCCGAGGCUCUGAGGGCCGGUCACUGAGGAAGCAGGGGAAUGUGGCCUCCUUUCUUUUAUUUUUAAAUCACCCCAAAUGAGGCUUUCUUAGAAAAGCAGUUUCAACUCCCAAAACGCCAGUCAGGCGGUGGUCUCCUGGGCCCCUUUGAAGGGGGAUGGUGAGUUCAUUCAGCUUUGCGUGUGUUCACUGGGUCACCCAGUAAACCUCCACCAAGCACAUCCGAUGCACCAGGGGGUCCGCCAGGCUCUGAGGACAGGCUGGUGGCAGAAGCCAGCGAUGCCCCUGCUGUCCUAGGGGACAUGAGCAGUAAACAGCAGUCAACUGUGUUCAUAAACAAGGAGAUGAACAGAGGGCGGGAGACCGAAUCCUGGGGUGCACCUUCAGGCCGGGGUCCGGGGCAGUUCAGAAAUGGUCUUAGAGAGGAGCAGGACAGUGGGAGUGCAGAGAUCAGCAGGCAUGUGGGGGCAGAGGAGGAAGGGGCUCACCAGGGCACAAGCCUGAAGUGCAGUGAGCAAGGAGCAGUGAGGCCAGCUGGGGUUCUUAGAGGAGAACAGGUUGGGUAGGCCUGGACGCGUUUAGAUUUUAUUCUGAGGGUCUUUGGAAAUCCACUUGGACAUCUGCCUUUGUGUCUAAUGAAGCUUCAUCCCCAGCCAGGUCCAAGUGGCGCUUUCUAAAGCAUUUAGGUUCAAGUGAUAUCUUUGCAUCGUCCACUCUGUCCCCUGAAGACCCGGACUGCAUAUUUGGGAGACAGCUAAGGAUCAAGGGUCAGGUUGAACUCGCAUGCUUUUCUCUUGAGUGGCUCAGUGCCUUAGCCAAUAUCAAAGCCACCAGGGAGCUUUGUCAACACACAGAUAGCUUCCAGGGCCCCGCCUCAGACCUCCUGCAUCAGAAUCCCAGGGCAGGAGCGAGCCAGACCUCAGAUGACUUUGCUGCUGCCCGGAGCGGAGCCUCCCUGCCUUAAAAAGCUCCAAACUGCCUCUUGAGUCUCAUAAAACCCCACUCACGCUUAGGCAAAGAGAGGGAGCUUCCCCCUGUUGAUAAGACUGAAAGCAUUCCUCGCCUGCCCCGUUUACCUGUCUCAGGUCUCCUAGGAAAGCAAACCUGCCCUUUUGUCAAUAUUUGCUCUGUCUGCUGCCCUCCACGGUAGAAGGGAAAAGCGUUUUCACUGUCAAGCUGGUGUUUAUACAGGGGAUUUGUAGACUUUCCCAGAGCUGCGGAAAAUCCAUCACCCCUGGUCACCUGUGCCCUUGAUGAGGUGACGGCUUUUCUGCCACCAUGCUACCCUGUCCAUCAGGAUGAUGGUAUGUGGCCUGUCAACUCACAAACAUUCAGGUUGGAAACUGCUUUACACAGGAGCCUGGGGAGACUGAUGCUUGGAGAGCAACCCAAUCUCAGAGGGCGAAGCAUGCCCUACUGAUGAUUCUGGAAGGCAAGGGGUGGGGGUCUCCACCCGAGACCAGUCAGGGAACCACUGGCAAAUGCCAGACACUUAGAUGGAGCCAAUACACCCUGGCCCUUGGAAAGCUUACCGGCCUGUAGCAUUUGUUCCAAGCAGUCAAUAGGAGCCCCGGUAUUGCUUCCAGCGGCUGGCUCUGAGGCUGGUGAGCCAAAAGAAAUUGGGGCCUCGGUUGCUGGAACCAAGCAUUGCUUGCAAGGCGCACGUGCCUGAGAGGCAGCUGGGCUGUGCUCCCAGGGAUGAGCACGUUCCCGUCUAGAACACUGCUCUGCUUCUGUUGGGCUCCUGUCUGUCAUCGUCACCCCAGGGCCAGCUCUGGACAUCCAAGCCACCUGAGACAGACACGCUGAAAAGCUGUUUGCCAUCUUUUGUCAUUUGGAAGAGCCUUUGGGGUUUAGGGGUCCAUCAAAGGGGCAGAAAGCAGGUGACAUCUGAGCGGAAGCUGCAGGAGCCACAUCUGCUCUGCCAGAUGUGCUGUCCAGCCACGCUCCAGCUCCCACUGCGGGCCCAGCACCGAGAGGGAAACCAAGGCUGCAAAGCAUCAGAAAACCCUCAGCGGACUUGCUGCAGCCUUUGGAGGGAUUCAGACCCCUCCAUAGAAGAAUGAGUGCAGAGAAUGGAGGAGGGAAGCUCUCUGUGGGAGGAAAAAUCAAUAAUCCCAUGGAGACAAUGACAGUAAUAGAUGUCACUGACUGUGCCUUUAUGAAUGUGAACUACAGAUUUUAACUGAUUGCACAUUCCCCUUUCUGAGAUAGCCCCUGUUAUCUUUACAAAGGAACAAGCCCAGGAUGCACACCAGAGAGGUGUCCUUAGACUCGGAAUAUCAUGGACCUGGAACGUGCUUAAAACGGUCCUAGCGUGCAGCAGGUGUCUACAAAGUACGAGGCUUACAAUCUUUACUACCGUGCUCCAACUUUUGUGAUUUUACUUUUGCAGAUGAUGAAACAGGCUUGGAGAUGCUCAUGGGAUUGACCAAAAAAAAAAAAAAAAAAAAAAAAUCACACGGCCAGAGCAAGAGCAGCACCAAACCUAGGUCUUCCCGGCUCUAGAGAUGGAGUGUUCCCUGCCAGGCUGCGGAGGCUGGCCUUGCUCUGACCGUGGGGUCUGACAGCCUCAAUUCCUCAGGAGUCUGAGGCCAGCAUCACGUAGCUCUCAGCGCCUCGGCAGCCAGCGGGGUCCUGCCACCCUGCAGUUCUCCCCCUCUGCCUCGCACAGAGUCAGCUGUCCCCACGAGCUGUCCCCAGAGCCCCUACUUCUGGUAUCAGCUUUUCCCAGGACCUGACCUCCAGGCUACUGUCAGGGCGGCUGCAGUGCAGGGCUCAUCUCGUCCCCUGCAGGCUCUUUGCCCAUCCUUGUAGAGCAAAUGAGAUCCCUCACUUCCUGGAAAUGAGCUUGCAGCCUCCCAGAGACCCCCGGGUGGGUACCCGGCGGGGCCUCCCCAAGCAGUACCGUGAUCCUGACUUUGAGAAAUCCCUGUGGGAGGGAAACCUAUUCAGCUCUCUCACUGCUCACUUCCCAAAUAGUAUCAGGCUAGGACAUGAGUUUUCUUCUUGUGGCUAGAAAUGACACACAGAUUACUCUUAAAUUCCGGAUGACGGGAAUCCAGUCUUGUGGGGCUCAGAUGGAAGAGUCGGCCAUUUCCUUCCAGAGGCUCCCAAGAUGUCAUUCCCUGCCUCUUCUAACUUCUUGAGGUCACCUACAGCCCAUGCCGGGUGGCCACAUUGCUCCAAUCUCUGUCCAUUGUUCCUCCUCCUCUGCCUCUGACAUCCCUGCCUCCUCUUAUAGACCCCUGUGAUUGCAUUAGACCCAUGUGGGCAAUCCGGACUACUCUCCCCAUCUUGAGCUCUUGUACUUUAUCACAUCUGCAAAACCCCUUUGGACUAUAUAAGGACACAUUUGCAGCUUCCAAGGAUGAGGAUGUAGACAUGCCAGAGGCCCUUGUUCCACCCUCCCAGGUUCCUGGGUCUUUAUUUACCUCUUCAGCAAGCUGGUGCUGCACUCCGGCCAGGCCCAGGCACUGUUUGCGUGAGCUGCUAGCAGCUAGGCCUGUUGACUUGAGUGCCUGCAGGUUCACUGGCUUCUGGAAGCUAUAGGUUACAUACUGGGAUAUCUGUCUUGGUUUUUAGAGAAAAGCAGUUUUCUUGUGAAACUGAAGAGGCUGUUUGCUAACUCGAACCCCUAGGCUGUACAAGGAAAGACUUGAGAGAUUUCCUUUCUGAUGCCUCCCCAAGGUUUGGAUUCCAGGUUUCUACACGUGUUCUUUCCUCUGACCCCAGACUUCAGCCUGGAGUGAAGCAGGCACAUACAUGGCUUACAGGUUCCCUAAAAGCAUUCCCAGCCCAGACAAGGGCAGCUGGCACCUUGUUUGACUCCCCGCUUUGAGCCUAGCCCAUACCUAUUGCCAAUGCUUAUCUAAUGCCAGGCCCCUCCUGAGCACCCUGGAGACAUGAUUGACACAAAUACUUACCGCAGCCCACAGGUAGGUACUAUUAUUAUCUCACCAAUGGGGCCUUGGGCAUUGUUAACCUUGCCUAAGUCUCACAGCUGGAGAAGAAGGGUCAAGAGUUGAACACAGUCUGAGGACUGAGUUCUUGCUUAUAACCACUAACCCACGCCUGGCCUCCCCAACAGCAGUUCUCCAUGAAAUCUAUCGAAAGAAGGACUGGGAAGCUGUUGGCAUCUAGAACUGCACAUUGAGGGACCUAUGCACUCAAGUGUCUUGAGUGAGUGACCCCUUCAUGACAGACAGGUGGAAGGAGCCCCUGGGACUGUAGGGUAGGCAUACUCCAUGGCCUUAGGGAGGGGCGGAGCCCCAGGGACCCUGUGAAAAGGUCAUAUACAUUUACUGAAAUGUGUCCCCAAUCUGUGGGCACUACACAAGUAGAGAAUAGUUGUCUUCUGUGCCUGCCGUAGAUCUUGGAAUGGCCCAGUCCCUGCUCAGAGCAGACGCUUAGUUGAUAAAUUCUGACUUCAUGCAAUCCCUUAGAGAUAUACUGAAUAUACAUUUUGAUCAAAUCCUGAACAGUCAAAUGUUGAAAGGCAAUAAUCAACCAAAAGCCAAGGUCAGAGCAGACUAUGACCAUCAUGGAUGAAAUUUUGCAUUAUCUUAGUUUACUUCCCCCAGAGAGCAGGCCCAUGGCAGAGUCAUGUUUUGAAAUACCAUGGGACAGUUCUUCAAUAUGUGAAUUUUGAGAGGACACAAUCUAGCCCAUAACAGAGAGAACCCAAGAAGGAAGGCACAGGUUUUUAUAUCUAUAAUCCAAUCUUGGGAAUGACAUCCAUCGCUUUUGUGCGAUUCCGUUCUUUACAAGUGAGGCACUAGGUCCCAUCCCCACUCAAGGGAAUAACGUCACCUGUUGCAGAGAUGGAUAGCAAAGAAUUUGUGGGUCUAUUUUUAAAUACACCACAGAGGGAGAGCCAAGAAUAGGAUGCAUUACACAGCUGGUCCCAGACAAGGAUGACUGGCUGGGGUUCCUGCGGGGCCAUUCCCUGAGCAAUAUGUAGCCUACGUCUCAGGGUUCUCUCAGUCAAGGAAAAGGGGAAGAACUUAUCAGGGGGAACUAUCUUAGACUGCACAAGCUGGGCAUCCAGCCAGGCCCCUGGAGUCCACAGAGAAUCCUGGGCAGAAGGAGGUGAGAGGGAAUGGAGUGGGCUGGGACUGGGUCGUGCCUCCCUGAAGAACACCAGUGGCCACAGCAACACAGGAAUAAGACGGUAGAGGCCUGUGGGGGCUGCAGCUCAGAUUACAGCCAUGGUUGACUUGCUAUUGCAAUUUCUCAUGAACAGUAUCAGUGGUUGCACCUCAAGUUUCUGACGUGAGUGCUGGCCCAGGAAUGUCACAGCAGGCACCGCUGCAGAGGUGGCAAUGGUGACCAUCUGACUCCCUUUCAGCAGGAAGUGGAGCAGGCAAGGAAGGUACCUCCUGGCCAGCCACGCUGAGGAGGGGCCGCUGGCCCAGGUGCUGCUGACACUUGAGGGAUCAGUUCCUCCUGUCUGGUGGGGCUGACUGAAGCGAGGUUGCCGCCGGCUCAGGGCUAAGACAGACUUUCGUAAAGUCUGGCUCUUCCUGUUGGAGUCACCAGAAACUCACCAGUUCGUUGAUACCCUCUACACGCUCUUAAUUUGGUUCCAGUUUUGUACAGGAGCACUUCAAAGUUCGUUGAAACUGGAAUUAAAAGAGAAGUUGAUUGAUUUUGAUGCAAAUUUUUUUGAAAUCCAUGUAUAUGUGGGAUCUUUAAGAAGUUCAUGGAAAUGUGUAGUAUGAAAUACUAUUUAAAUAACAUUGAAGUGUGCAUGGUUUUUCCAUAAUGUACAUUUUUUAAAAUUCUUGAAGAUCCCUCAUGUGCAUGGAGUGUGAUAUUUUUGCACAAAAUAAACUUUUAAUUCCAUUGUCCUUGAACUUUUGAAGUACCCAGGGACAUUCUUCAAAAAAAAAAAAAAAUUCUUUAUUUAUUGGAAAGGCAGAAGCAGAGAGAGAUCUUCCAUCCAUUGGUUCACUCCCCAACUGGCUGCAGCUGCCAGGGCAGGGCCAGGCCAAACCAGGAGCCUGGAGGUGCAUCCAUGUCUCCCACAUGGGUGCAAGGGCCCAAACCCUUGGGCCAUCUACCAUGGCUUUCCCAGGUGCAGUAGCAGGGAGCUGGAUCAGAAGUGGAAAGCCAGGACUUGAACCAGUACCCAUAUGGGAUGCUGGCACUGCAGUUGGUGGCUUUACCUGCUACGCCACAGCGCCGACCUCACCAGGUAUGUUAUUUUGUCUAGAUUAAAGAGAGUUUAUCAUAGCCAUUGUUCAACAUCAUUUUGGAGUUUUUUCUUCUCCUUUGAGGAGGCAAAGAUGACAUUUUAGAUUUUUAAGAUUUAUUCAUUUGAAAGGCAGAAUGGCAGAGAGAGGGAGAAAUCUUCAUCUGCCUUUUACUCCCAGUUACCUACAAUAGCCAGGGCUAGGCUGAAGCCAGGAGCUCUAUCCAGGUAUCGCACAUGGGUGGCAGGAACCCUGAUUGGCUACCUUCACAGGUGCAUUAUCAGGAAACCGGAUAGAAAGUGCAAGCCAGGAUUUGAACCAACACUCAGAUAUGGGAUGGGGGCAUCCAAGCAACAGUUUAAUGAGCUGCACCACAAUGCCCAGCCCUGCAUUUUAAUUUUUAAAAAAAAAUCCCCUCACAAGAGGUAAAGCAGGGGCCAGCCUUGUGAUGCAGUGGGUUAAGGGCCACCUGAGGCACCGACAUCCCAUAUCGGAGCAUUGAUUCCAAUCUCAGAUGCUCAAGUUCCAAUAUAGCUCCUUGCUAAUGCAUCUAGGAUAGCAUCAGAGGAUAUAUCAAGUGUGUGGGCUCCUGCCACCCAUACGGAGACCCAUAUGGAGUUCCAGGCUCCUGGCCUAAGCCUGACCCGGCCUCUGCUGCUCUGGCUAUUUGAGGAAUGAACCAGCAGAUGGAAGAUCUCUCUCUCUCUCUCUCUCUCUCUCUCUCUCU
Oryctolagus cuniculus (rabbit) is the source of this 8411-nucleotide non-coding RNA. Lineage: Eukaryota; Metazoa; Chordata; Mammalia; Lagomorpha; Leporidae. The record is from RefSeq and is a predicted model, not a curated record.